This 254-nucleotide long non-coding RNA is filed under the name Phoenix dactylifera (date palm). RNAcentral's name for it is "long non-coding RNA (PDAC_LNC009473)". Lineage: Eukaryota; Viridiplantae; Streptophyta; Magnoliopsida; Arecales; Arecaceae. The record is from RNAcentral.
AUUACUUUAAUUAUUUUAUAAGAUAAUUUGCUAAUCGAAUUGACCAAAUUAUCCUUGAAUGAUUCUUAAUCAUUCAUCAGCCUUCUUGAUCAAUCUGGAAUCUUCUAUGCGUGUGACCUUAUAGGUUCGAACCUAAGCCGGUAGUAUAGGAAUAACUUUCUACACUAAUCGAUGUGACUAUUUAGCAAUGGUACCCGACGUUCGGAUAGACCGAAUAUAUGUGAAGCAAAUAUUCUGGAACCCUAGACUAUGGU